GACGAACGCUGGCGGCGUGCCUAAUACAUGCAAGUAGAACGCUGAAGAGAGGAGCUUGCUCUUCUUGGAUGAGUUGCGAACGGGUGAGUAACGCGUAGGUAACCUGCCUUGUAGCGGGGGAUAACUAUUGGAAACGAUAGCUAAUACCGCAUAACAAUGGAUGACACAUGUCAUUUAUUUGAAAGGGGCAAUUGCUCCACUACAAGAUGGACCUGCGUUGUAUUAGCUAGUAGGUGAGGUAACGGCUCACCUAGGCGACGAUACAUAGCCGACCUGAGAGGGUGAUCGGCCACACUGGGACUGAGACACGGCCCAGACUCCUACGGGAGGCAGCAGUAGGGAAUCUUCGGCAAUGGGGGCAACCCUGACCGAGCAACGCCGCGUGAGUGAAGAAGGUUUUCGGAUCGUAAAGCUCUGUUGUAAGUCAAGAACGAGUGUGAGAGUGGAAAGUUCACACUGUGACGGUAGCUUACCAGAAAGGGACGGCUAACUACGUGCCAGCAGCCGCGGUAAUACGUAGGUCCCGAGCGUUGUCCGGAUUUAUUGGGCGUAAAGCGAGCGCAUGCGGUUUGAUAAGUCUGAAGUUAAGGCUGUGGCUCAACCAUAGUUCGCUUUGGAAACUGUCAAACUUGAGUGCAGAAGGGGAGAGUGGAAUUCCAUGUGUAGCGGUGAAAUGCGUAGAUAUAUGGAGGAACACCGGUGGCGAAAGCGGCUCUCUGGUCUGUAACUGACGCUGAGGCUCGAAAGCGUGGGGAGCGAACAGGAUUAGAUACCCUGGUAGUCCACGCCGUAAACGAUGAGUGCUAGGUGUUGGAUCCUUUCCGGGAUUCAGUGCCGCAGCUAACGCAUUAAGCACUCCGCCUGGGGAGUACGACCGCAAGGUUGAAACUCAAAGGAAUUGACGGGGGCCCGCACAAGCGGUGGAGCAUGUGGUUUAAUUCGAAGCAACGCGAAGAACCUUACCAGGUCUUGACAUCCCGAUGCUAUUUCUAGAGAUAGAAAGUUACUUCGGUACAUCGGUGACAGGUGGUGCAUGGUUGUCGUCAGCUCGUGUCGUGAGAUGUUGGGUUAAGUCCCGCAACGAGCGCAACCCCUAUUGUUAGUUGCCAUCAUUCAGUUGGGCACUCUAGCGAGACUGCCGGUAAUAAACCGGAGGAAGGUGGGGAUGACGUCAAAUCAUCAUGCCCCUUAUGACCUGGGCUACACACGUGCUACAAUGGUUGGUACAACGAGUUGCGAGUCGGUGACGGCAAGCUAAUCUCUUAAAGCCAAUCUCAGUUCGGAUUGUAGGCUGCAACUCGCCUACAUGAAGUCGGAAUCGCUAGUAAUCGCGGAUCAGCACGCCGCGGUGAAUACGUUCCCGGGCCU
This 1368-nucleotide ribosomal RNA is filed under the name uncultured bacterium. RNAcentral's name for it is "bacterial SSU rRNA". It matches the Rfam family "Bacterial small subunit ribosomal RNA", at positions 28 to 1381 of the family's 1533-position model. The record is from RNAcentral.